GAUGAACUCUAGCUACAGGCUUAACACAUGCAAGUCGAGGGGCAUCAGGAAGAAAGCUUGCUUUCUUUGCUGGCGACCGGCGCACGGGUGAGUAACACGUAUCCAACCUGCCCUUUACUCGGGGAUAGCCUUUCGAAAGAAAGAUUAAUACCCGAUAGCAUAAUGAUUCCGCAUGGUUUCAUUAUUAAAGGAUUCCGGUAAAGGAUGGGGAUGCGUUCCAUUAGGUUGUUGGUGAGGUAACGGCCCACCAAGCCUUCGAUGGAUAGGGGUUCUGAGAGGAAGGUCCCCCACAUUGGAACUGAAACACGGUCCAAACUCCUACGGGAGGCAGCAGUGAGGAAUAUUGGUCAAUGGGCGCUAGCCUAAACCAGCCAAGUAGCGUGAAGGAUGAAGGCUCUAUGGGUCGUAAACUUCUUUUAUAUAAGAAUAAAGUGCAGUAUGUAUACUGUUUUGUAUGUAUUAUAUGAAUAAGGAUCGGCUAACUCCGUGCCAGCAGCCGCGGUAAUACGGAGGAUCCGAGCGUUAUCCGGAUUUAUUGGGUUUAAAGGGAGCGUAGGUGGACUGGUAAGUCAGUUGUGAAAGUUUGCGGCUCAACCGUAAAAUUGCAGUUGAUACUGUCAGUCUUGAGUACAGUAGAGGUGGGCGGAAUUCGUGGUGUAGCGGUGAAAUGCUUAGAUAUCACGAAGAACUCCGAUUGCGAAGGCAGCUCACUGGACUGCAACUGACACUGAUGCUCGAAAGUGUGGGUAUCAAACAGGAUUAGAUACCCUGGUAGUCCACACAGUAAACGAUGAAUACUCGCUGUUUGCGAUAUACAGUAAGCGGCCAAGCGAAAGCAUUAAGUAUUCCACCUGGGGAGUACGCCGGCAACGGUGAAACUCAAAGGAAUUGACGGGGGCCCGCACAAGCGGAGGAACAUGUGGUUUAAUUCGAUGAUACGCGAGGAACCUUACCCGGGCUUAAAUUGCAGUGGAAUGAUGUGGAAACAUGUCAGUGAGCAAUCACCGCUGUGAAGGUGCUGCAUGGUUGUCGUCAGCUCGUGCCGUGAGGUGUCGGCUUAAGUGCCAUAACGAGCGCAACCCUUAUCUUUAGUUACUAACAGGUUAUGCUGAGGACUCUAGAGAGACUGCCGUCGUAAGAUGUGAGGAAGGUGGGGAUGACGUCAAAUCAGCACGGCCCUUACGUCCGGGGCUACACACGUGUUACAAUGGGGGGUACAGAAGGCAGCUAGCGGGUGACCGUAUGCUAAUCCCAAAAUCCUCUCUCAGUUCGGAUCGAAGUCUGCAACCCGACUUCGUGAAGCUGGAUUCGCUAGUAAUCGCGCAUCAGCCACGGCGCGGUGAAUACGUUCCCGGGCCUUGUACACACUGCCCGUCAAGCCAUGGGAGCCGGGGGUACCUGAAGUACGUAACCGCAAGGAUCGUCCUAGGGUAAAACUGGUGACUGGGGCUAAGUC
RNAcentral lists this ribosomal RNA (1456 nucleotides) under uncultured organism. RNAcentral describes it as "16S ribosomal RNA". It matches the Rfam family "Bacterial small subunit ribosomal RNA". The record is from RNAcentral.